GAUGAAGAACGCAGCGAAAUGUGAUACUUGGUGUGAAUUGCAGAAUCCCGUGAACCAUCGAGUCUUUGAACGCAAGUUGCGCCCGAAGCCAUUAGGCCGAGGGCACGCCUGCCUGGGCGUCACACGUCGUUGCCCCCCCAUCUACUCCUUCGGGAUUGCGGGGGGCGGAUGAUGGCCUCCCGUGCGCCUCGCCGCGCGGUUGGCAUAAAUGCCAAGUCCUCGGCGACGCACGCCACGACAAUCGGUGGUGGCGAAACCUCGGUUGCCCGUCGUGUGCGGUCGUCGCGCAUCGAGGGCUCGAAAAAAUUGCCGGGUUCCGGCUCGGCUUUCAACGCGACCCCAGGUCAGGCGGGGUUACCCGCUGAAUUUAAGCAUAUCAAUAAGCGGAGGA
RNAcentral lists this unclassified non-coding RNA (391 nucleotides) under soil metagenome. RNAcentral's name for it is "partial contains 5.8S ribosomal RNA, internal transcribed spacer 2, and large subunit ribosomal RNA". The stretch from base 1 to 122 matches the Rfam family "5.8S ribosomal RNA", at positions 35 to 154 of the family's 154-position model. The record is from RNAcentral.